GUGCCAGCAGCCGCGGUAAGACGAACCGUGCGAACGUUAUUCGGAAUCAUUGGGCUUAAAGGGCGCGUAGGCGGCGGUGUAAGUUGGAAGUGAAAUCCCAUCGGCUCAACCGUGGAAUUGCUCCCAGUACUGCACUGCUCGAGGGGGAUAGGGGUCCGCGGAACUACCGGUGGAGCGGUGAAAUGUGUUGAUAUCGGUGGGAACGCCAGUGGCGAAAGCGGCGGACUUGACCCUUCCUGACGCUGAUGCGCGAAAGCUAGGGGAGCAAACGGGAUUAGAUACCCGAGUAGUCC
This 293-nucleotide ribosomal RNA is filed under the name uncultured bacterium. RNAcentral describes it as "partial 16S ribosomal RNA". It matches the Rfam family "Bacterial small subunit ribosomal RNA", at positions 505 to 796 of the family's 1533-position model. The record is from RNAcentral.